GGAUCCGUGGGGCAAUGGUAGCGCGUCUGACUCCAGAUCAGAAGGUUGCGUGUUCAAUUGACGUCGGGUUCA
Molecule: non-coding RNA, 72 nt
Organism: Brassica napus (rape)
Lineage: Eukaryota; Viridiplantae; Streptophyta; Magnoliopsida; Brassicales; Brassicaceae
Source: Rfam